GACGAACGCUGGCGGCGUGCUUAACACAUGCAAGUCGAACGGUGAAGCGCCUUCCUUUUUGGUGGGUGUGGAUGAGUGGCGAACGGGUGAGUAACACGUGAGUAACCUGCCCCCUUCUUCUGGAUAACCGCAUGAAAGUGUGGCUAAUACGGGAUAUUCUGGGUCUGUCGCAUGAUGGGUCUGGGAAAGAUAUUGUUUCGGUGGGGGAUGGGCUCGCGGCCUAUCAGCUUGUUGGUGGGGUGAUGGCCUACCAAGGCGGUGACGGGUAGCCGGCCUGAGAGGGUGGACGGCCACAGUGGGACUGAGACACGGCCCAGACUCCUACGGGAGGCAGCAGGGGGGAAUAGUGCACAAUGGGCGCAAGCCUGAUGCAGCGACGCCGCGUGAGGGAUGGAGGCCUUCGGGUUGUGAGCCUCUUUCGCUAGUGAAGCAGGCCUGCCUCGUUUGUGGGUGGGUUGACGGUAGCUGGAUAAGAAGCGCCGGCUAACUACGUG
RNAcentral lists this ribosomal RNA (494 nucleotides) under uncultured bacterium. RNAcentral's name for it is "partial 16S ribosomal RNA". It matches the Rfam family "Bacterial small subunit ribosomal RNA", at positions 28 to 507 of the family's 1533-position model. The record is from RNAcentral.